RNAcentral lists this long non-coding RNA (7889 nucleotides) under Marmota monax (woodchuck). The record is from RNAcentral. Lineage: Eukaryota; Metazoa; Chordata; Mammalia; Rodentia; Sciuridae.
CUCAGGCUCCCUUCUGGGCCUUUGGGAUGGUGCUUUCAGAAUUCUCCACUUCUGCUGGGGUCCCGUGUCCGCUCCUGUGACGAUAACUGCAUGCUGAGGAGGUGGGGUCCCACGAGCUGAGCUUACCUUUCCCAGGUGUGCUUCCAACAGGAAUGUCGAAUACCUCAGGUGCUGUUUAGGACCACAACCCACCUGAGGACAAAAGCAGGUGACAAUAACCAGCUGAUCAGACAAUGGACUCGGGAGUCUUACAAUGACUAAUAUGUAAGUACGUUAAGACCUGGGUUUAUUUUUUUCUAACUUAUUAGGUGCUUACUUUUGUUUUGCUUGCUAAUUACCAAUCUAUAGUUAUAGAGCAGGACGGUGGUAGAUAAUGGAGGUGGUUAAACUCUCGCACAAAAAGCUCAGCUGCUUUUUUACAGGGUGUAGAUUAUCUGAUGCAAAAAAAGAAGCCCAGGCUUUUAUCUCUUGUCUCUUUCCCAUUUUUAUUGUUUUUGGGCUCUUUAAUGAAAAAGGUUUCGUUCCUCUCCAAGUCUAGCUCAUCCAUAAUUUAAUAAUAGUCAAGUCAGAGCUGUCUUAAUUGAGAAAACCUCUUUUCUAUUUAGAUUUCUAAUUGCUCCGCAGAAUUCCAGUUCUGCAUAAUUUGAGACUGCUUUUUAAGAGUCCACCAAUACCCUACCGUAAGGGUUCUCUAAUCACUAAUAGUGGGGCACUAAAUGUCAACUGUUCAUCUAGUAAUUUAUGUUCUUUACUUCACAGAUUUCCUUAAUUGCUUUUAACAUAAAUCUGAGAAAGAGUGAUUAAAGUAUUGCAGUCUCGGGAAGAUUUAGCAUUAGUCUGCAAACUCUUCUGAGAGAAUAUUAAGUGCUCAGCUCUCAGGAAAGAGGCCACGGGUUAGACACAGUGCCCUGUGUCCUGGAGGAGAGUCUGAUGGCUGAAACUGCAGCCCAGGUGGGACAUGCCGUCUCAGAAGUGCCCCUCUGACUCCUAGGAAUGAGUGUUCCCAAGCAAGCACCAAGUCACUCCCUCGGCCUUUCCGGUGGGUCAUGCCAAUGAUAAUGUUCUAUCCCUUUCUGCUUUACUUUUUAUGUUGUUUUGCAGUGCUGGGGAUGGAACCCAAGACCUCACACAUGCUAGGCAAGCACUCCUCCAAGGAGCUACACCCCUAAUCCUUUCUUUGAUUUAGAGAUAGCAUCUGCCAAACUUGCCCAGGCUGGCCUCCAACGUGGGAUCCUCCUGCCUCAGCCUCCAGAACUGCUGAGAUUACAGGUGUGUGACACUCUGCCUGGAUUUUUCUGCCUUAAUUUUAAAGACACUAAACAUCCCAAGAAUGGAUACUCCUCAGUUUCUCCUGGGACUUUUACCAUAAAGCACUGUAAAUGUUGAAAACAUCUCCUGAGAACAGGAGAGACAGGAUCUUUGGACUCUAACAUAGUUAACAACAACUGUGUUGUGCCUACGUUGUGAAGACUUCUUUUCUGAGAACAUGUUGUCUGCCCUGAUCUUGUUGUCUGUCCUCUUGUAGGAUCAUACAAGAAAUAGUAGGGUCAUGGCAUAGAGUAGUUGAGUCUUUAUAACUGUCCUUUUUUCCAGAAAAUGAGUCAAGUCUAUGUUUUAAAACAUCCUAGGAUAACAGCUCAUAAUGCAGUUGGACAAAGAAAGAAUGAAUGAAUUGGAGAAAUAAAAGCAAAUAUCAUGCACAGCAACUGUUCAGGCAACUUUCUGUUACUGUAACAAAAAACCUGAGAUCACCAAAUUAUAAGAAUGAAAGGUUUAUUUGACUCAGUUUUAGAUAUUUCAGCCCCUGCAUGGCUGGCCUCUUGCUUUGGGGCCUGUGGUGAGACAGGACACUGUGGCAGAAGUCCAUGGGAGAAGCAGCUACUAAUUUUAUGGCUGUUGGGAAGCAAAAGAGAGAGGAAGAGGCUGAAGUCCCGACAUCCCCUUUAGGGGCAUGCCACUAGUGUCCUUAAUUUCUCUCCCUACGUCCUGCCUCUCAAGGAUCCACCAUCUCCCAGGAGUGCUCCAGGCUGGUGACCAAGUCUUUAGCACAUGGGUGUUUGGGGGACAGUCAUCCAAACCAGAGCUGUCUGAAUAUGCCCCGAACCUCUUCAAAACCGCCAUCCUCCAACCAGAGAGUAAUCAAGCAGAAAAAAACCCUCAGAGCCUUCACUGUCAGAUGCCAUCUGCACGGAGGGGGACACACUCCACUGUGGGCACGGAACCUGGAACUGACCCUGAGGCUGCCAUCUCCCCUGGUUGCCUCUGCCUGUGGACCAGGCUCUGUCCUCAGGACAGUGCCACUGAACACGCAUGGGUCGGACAGGUGAAGAGCUUCCCGGGCCCUGCUCACUCCAGAAUCCAGUCCCUUUACACACCGGCCAGAGCCCCUCCUCGGGCUUUAGUCUGCAGAGCCCACCUGCACAGACAGGGCUGACUCUCCAGGCCUGUGGCAUCACCUCCAGCUCCUCGGAACGUCCACCUUGUGAGGUCUUCGUAUCCCCAGGGCUGUGGGCCACAGUGGAGAGCCCGUGCCAACAAGGUGAUUGUAUUAGGGUGGAGACAUGAAGCCAGGCCAUAUCAGGGGACCUUGAAGGGCUGGAGACUCUGUGGUCAGUAGAUGGUUUGAGAGGAGACUCUACACCCAUUCCCCACCAGCUGUGCCCAUGGGGCUGACUGCUGAGCUUUCUGUCCUUGAUGACCAGGGGUAGCACUUCUGACAUCCAUCAAUAUGCCCUUCCUCUGGGGAGGGGGUACCCCUCACAGUCUCUGCUCUUUCUGUCUUUAUCACAGACCUUACCUGGAUGUGCAUCCACAGUGUAUUUGAAAUCCUACAGUACUCCUGAUUGUCCAAGACUUUUUGGUUUGCUCAAUGUUUACCUACAAGAGAAUUUUAGCGGUACUUUGCCAAAUCUCCCCUCUCCUCCCCCCAGGAUUUUGAUGAGAAGUUCAUCUUAGUCACAGUUUCUUGCCAUUUGUCCACGUCUUCUUUGAGGAGUGUCUGCCAAGGUGUGUAGUGCUCUUCAGGAAAGCCCUUUUCAUUUUCUUCUAGAUUGUUAUUUACUGGCAUGGCAUUCUCCACUAGGAGCAUCUGGGUUUUUAACCCGUUCUGCUGUGACCAGCAUCCAGUUAUAUUUACAUGUAACAUAAAAACCACCACCCAUUCCUGCUUUUAGACCUUCUGCAUCAGCAGUCAACCCUCCAGGAAGUGCCUACCAUUUGCUGAGACUCUCGGGCCAGGAGCAACAUCAAAUACUUAAAAAUUGCUCUAAGGACACACUCCAUGCAGGCUGAAAAUCCCUGUUAUCUUACCCUCAAGCCCCAAGAGCUACUAUGACAUACAUGAGUCCUCCUUAAAAGUAAUCCAGGAAGCGCAGUCCCGUGUGACAGUGCCAGCGUGUCACGGGCCAUCCACGGCUGCCUUCACCUUUGUGGAUCCUGCAUCUCUCACCCUAAAGCUCCAACCAGAAAUGACAGGAAGACCUCACCAGGUUUUUCAGAAGUGACCACAUGCAGCCCUUCGUCAUCAUGAUGUAAGUGUCUCUGGUUUAGCCUGUUGAUUGGUGGAUUGCACUAACUGUUGGUAACCUGCUGAGCCAGCCUUGCACACCUGCAAUGAACCCCACUGGGUGUGACAUAUUUCCCUUCUAUAUAACAUUGGACUUGCUAGUAUUUGUGGAAGGGUAUUUGCAUCAAUGUUUGUAAGAAGUGCUGGUCUGUAGUUUUCCCGUCUUGUACUGUCUUCGUGUGCUUUGGGUGUCGGGGUGAUGCUGGCCUCGUGACUCAGGGUGGUAUUCCCUCUGCUUUAUUCUCUGCAACAUAUUGUAGAAAAUUAUCAUCAUUUCUUCCUCAAAUGUCUGUUACAAUCUGCCUGUGUACCCACCAGAGACUGGUGUCUACUGUUUUGGAAGGUUAUUAAUUAUUGAUUCAUCCCUUUUAAUAGAUAUGAGCCCAUUCAGAUGAUCUGUUUCUUCUUGUGUGAGUUUUAAAAGAUUGUGUCUUUCAAGGAAUUGGUCAUUAUAUAUGUCAUAAAAUUUGUGGACAUAGGAUUGUUCAAAAUAUUCCUUCCUUGUCCUUUUAAAGUCCAUCUGGUAGAUAAUGAGGAUCCCUCUUUCAUCUUUGAUAUUCUCUUUCUCAGUCUAGAUUAAGGAAUUUUCACAUUAGUUCUAUGGAGCAGCGAGCCAGACAUAUCUGCAAUGACACCCUUCAUUUGUGGCAGUUCCAGCUCCCUCCUCCGUCCCCUGAAGCCUGUGGUUCUGCUCUUUAGAACACACCUGAGAAAUGGCUCAGCCUCUGACUCCCUGAGGUAUUACCCAUCUUCUUCCCUCUCAACUGUGCGCUGAGGCAAAUUCUCUACUGAAAGGUAGCAUCUUAAUUUCUGUGCAAACUAGCAGAAAACAAAGCUAAUACGUCACACUCAUGAGAACAGUCUGUGGUUUUGUGACUUCAGGACUUGGGCAAAGUCGAGAGAGGGGCUUCCGACUGAGCAGCAGAACCACCACAAUAUCCUCGGCUUUGAAAGCUGAAAAAUAAUCAGGGUAGAAGGGAGUAUCCUGGGUAGAAAGUUGAACUAGCUCCCUCCCGGAUGAUGAAAGACAGGGCCAAACUUGAGAGUGCAGGAAGGUAUCAAGAAGCUGGCUGGUAGAUGUUCCCUUCCCACUGACCCCUGUAAGCAGACACAGGAACCGGCAGAAUGCAAGACCCCACACAGUCCCAAGAGGCUUGCAGUCACCUCUCUUGUCCCUUGAAUCUGUUUUUAUUCCAAAGAUAAAGCUAUGGCAUGAAGUGAGAUCACCAAGUGCCUGAAAUAAUUUAAAUCUCUAUUAGUAACACAUAGUUCAUAUAUUACUGGUACAUAUAUGGGAAGAGCCACAUGAGACUUUUACGGAAUGGAUCACAUUUCAUCAGUGUUGUAAGGAUUUCAUUGAUUUGCUCAUACUACAUGAGAACAAUAUAAUGCCUAUCUAGCAAAAUAAAAUCUGAGUACAUGGAUCAAAUACAUGAACUAAUCAUUGCCUUACAAAUCUUAACAUUUACACAUAGUGAAAGCUUCUAACAUCAUUCGUUUCCAGCCAUUAUCAAAAAGUGACGCUAAUAUAUUUGAAGGGUAUUCAAUUCUUGAACUUCCUCAGACUUCCACAUUUUUCCACCUUGGAUCAAAAUAGGUACAUACAUCGUGAAUCUCAGUGACAGGGUGACACGUCGUCAUCACAUCAGGUAGACUUUGUCCCUAGUGUGGCACAGGCUGGUCUAGAGCUCCUGGACUCACGUGGCCCUCCCACCACAACCUUCCCAGUGCUGGGCUCACAGGUGUGCCCCCAACCUGACUUGCCACGACCCGCGACUGAUCAGGUUCACUCCAUGGGAACUGGGCUGACGACCAUACAAACACAGAAAAAAUACCUUUUCUGGGGUGCAGUGACAGCUCCUCAGCCUCCACUCCCAAAAGGGAGGCAAAAGAAAAGCAAGAGAGAGAGCGCGCCCCAGCCCUGGAUUUUACUGGGGAACGCUGUUGGAUAGAACAUUCCAUCCAAAUAAGGCCAAGGGGUGAGAUCACAAGAGAACAAGGGGUCCGGUUUCAGAGGAUGGAGUCUUGCUUGGCGCUGUCUUGGUCGGCAGUUUGACUGACAUCUUGGAGAGUGACACCCAUCUCAGUUGCUCCAGGGGAUCAAAGGCAGAGUUGCCCAGCCCAAUCAGGCAGCAAGGCAGACCAGUUCCUUACACGCUCAAAGGCACAAAGCUCACGCACACAGUCCUGGCUGGCUCACAACACUGACUUGUCACAUAAUCAUUCAUAUGUUUUCAGAAUGAUUUAAAGACUUUGCCAGCUUCUUAAAACUUCUCAGUGAGAGUGAGUCUUCUCAGUAAAGAGUGACUUUUUGUUAAUGGUUGCAAAUGAAUGGUACAGGAAGCUUUCACUAUGUGUAAAUAAAUAUCUUUAUUUCUGACUCUUGGAAAAUGAUAAGGCUCAAAGAGUUUAAGUAAAUUUUCCAAGGAUCCCAGAGGUGCUGAGAACCAGAGUGAGAAUCCUGCAAACUUUUCCUUUCUGGAACCUGCGUGACAACAUGUUUCUCUCUACCCUUUAAUGCUGAAAUACAGCUACAAGCCGGGACAUGUUUACUGAAAUACAGUGAAGAAUACUACUUUGCCGAGGGUCAAAGGAUACAGGAAAAAUCUGUAAGUUAAGCUGAUGCAAUUCACUCAUUUAUCAAUGAGGAAAUUAAAACCAACAUGGAUGAAUUUCUUGUCUAGUCUCCCAACACCAACCAAAGCCUUAUCUACUAUAUUUUGCUGAUAUUUGUACCAAUGUCUUAAAAUAUGAGUUAUUAUGAAAUACACUCUCUAUCACUUCCCUAAUUCACACACUGUUGGUUAUUUGAAAACCAAUUCUCUAGUUGAUAUACUGUUCAAGGCUCUGAAACCACUAACAGUGCUUUGGCUUUUUAACAAGACCUUCUUACCGGCAGUGGGAAGGCAAGUUAGGAGAUGUUCAGUAGAGAAAACGGAUUCUGUCUGUAGCCUCCAUCUUCACCAGGAAUGAAGAGUUUAUAAAGUUACCAGAAAAGCAAGACAAUGGCCUACUAUGAAUUAAAAGAGGUCCUUUUAAAAAAAUAAAAGUUAUGAAUAUUUUACUGCAGAAUUUAACAUGUGAAGGGAAUUCUGACUUUUCAUUUUGAGACAAGGUCUUGCUGGCUUGCUCAGGGCCUCACUAAGACUCUGAGGCUGCCUAUGAACUUGCAGUCCUCCUGCCUCAACCUCCAGUGUUGCUGGGAUCACAGGCGUGCACCAUCACGCCUGGCUGGUUACUAUUUUCUACAAAACAUUUUUAACUUAUGUCAUCUCUCAGGGACAAGACAUGACCUGAGAAGAGCUGUCAUCAGUGAGGGCAGGGGCGCAGAGAAGUGGGGCACCACCAGCCCAGCUGCUGCGGUGUCCAGGAGCAAGCCUGUGUGAGCAGCAGGGGAAGAGCCGGUGGCAAAUCCGUGGGCUUGUCAAACUCGAAUCUUGUCCCCACCACUUCUAACCACAUGACUUUGGACCUUAGUUUCCACAUCUCAAAAUGGGAAUAGGGACCUCGCAGGGUUGUUUUGAUUAUUAAGUAAGAAAAGGUGUGUCAAGUACAAAUAAAUAUUAGUGCCUGUCCCUCAUGGCAAUGGUAUUUUUGAUGGGGAAAUACUAGGGUGGUUAUGGGACAAAGGGACAGUCUGAAGUCCAGGCUGUUGGGGAAUACUGGCGCCUCUAGCUGCCCUCUCAGCUUUCUCCUUUCUCUGCUCAUAAUCCCUCUCUGUAACUAUGACAGCCUGACUGCUUUGCAUAACUUCAGACUGUACCUAUCUCUCUGUAUUCUCUGCUUAUUAAAGAGUAAUCUGUUGCAACUGUCAAUCAUCCUACAACAGGUCCAGCACGUGCCAUCUGGGACACAGACCAUACAAAAACUCUCUCCAUGAAACUGUGAGCACAUCCAGUCAUUCAAACCACAUUCCCAUGACCGUCCUCCUAAAUGCUCUGGCUGUGCUGCUGGAACAUGCAACUCUGAAACACAGGCUCAAAACCCUGCUUAGAAAACCUGUACCGCUGGGUUUGCACAAAACGAGAUCUAUGGGUGCUGCACCCUUGCACUUUAAAAUCCUCAACAGCUGGCUGAAGGAAGCACACCCAGAAGUAAUUUGCAUUUAGCUCCUGAAUAAGCUUUACAAUCAAAAGUAAUUUGGUUGAAGCAUAUUGAAGCACCUUGCGUUUGCAGUGGGUGGGGGUUGAUUUAGUCACAGGCCCGCGCUGCAUGCACUGCUUAUGCCGUGAUUCCCAACAAUCCCAAGUGCAAACGAGGGCUCCAUUUUCUUGGUGUUCUGGCACGCUGCUCGUUUUUAUUUUCAAGAUGCCGAGAGUUGGAG